AUGCAGUUGAUGAAUCCCAGAUAGAACGAAACGCAUGUCCUGAAU
RNAcentral lists this non-coding RNA (45 nucleotides) under Schistosoma curassoni. Lineage: Eukaryota; Metazoa; Platyhelminthes; Trematoda; Strigeidida; Schistosomatidae. The record is from RNAcentral.